CCGACGCAUCCGGGGUCGGUGAAAGUCCGAACCGGCGGUGACAGUCCGCGACCCUCGCGGCCCAGUUUGAACGGGCCAACAGGUUGAUCCGGUGAAACUCCGGGACCGACAGUGAAAGUCUGGAUGGGAGGAGCGCGUC
RNAcentral lists this non-coding RNA (139 nucleotides) under Arachnia propionica. Its description in RNAcentral is "Pseudopropionibacterium propionicum FMN sequence". It matches the Rfam family "FMN riboswitch aptamer (RFN element)". From Rfam's summary of the family: The RFN element is a highly conserved domain that is found frequently in the 5'-untranslated regions of prokaryotic mRNAs that encode for flavin mononucleotide (FMN) biosynthesis and transport proteins. This element is a metabolite-dependent riboswitch that directly binds FMN in the absence of proteins. The record is from Rfam by way of RNAcentral. Lineage: Bacteria; Bacillati; Actinomycetota; Actinomycetes; Propionibacteriales; Propionibacteriaceae.